Molecule: long non-coding RNA, 5495 nt
Organism: Heterocephalus glaber (naked mole-rat)
Lineage: Eukaryota; Metazoa; Chordata; Mammalia; Rodentia; Bathyergidae
Source: Ensembl
CGCGCGAGCCUUGCGCGCCCCAGCGCUGUUGGCGCCACCGCGCCAAACCCGGACGCGGCCCCGGAACCUCCAGGGGGCGGGAGCGGGGGCGAGGGUGGGGGCGGCGACCUGGGGCCGCGUCCUCCCGCCCCCGCCGCGUCCCCUGCAUCCCCAGACGCCCGAGUUCCCGCGGCUCAGCAGGACGCGGGAGGACGGUGCGCUGGAGAGGACCUGUGUUCUGCGCUGCCUCUUAUGAUCUAAGCUGUCCAGCCCCCUCCAGUGGUGCUAGAACUGCUUUCUCUUCAAGGAAGAAGAGAAGCCAGAAGUCCCUGAAUCUUGCAGCUUGGCCAUCGAUUUUCUGACUAAUUUGGAGAUGGACGUGUUUUUGGAAGAGUAUUUGGAAAACCUUUUGGGGUGAAAAGAAGUUCCUCCGUGGCCUCUGCUCGCUGAGUAACCGAGCUCAGUGAUGCAUGAACACUGCUCUGGAAUUUGAAAGUUGGCUGCUCUGGGGCCAGGUGACCUUGAACAGAUACAGUGGGCACCUGUAGAAAGGGUCUGAGGGGUCUGUUGGCUCUGUGCAGACUUUAAAUUUUCAGACUGAGCAGUGGCCUGGGCUCUGGGGAUGAGGGCUGGGAAGGCGCAAAGCUCCUAAAAAUGCUCGCAAAGUGUGUGCGUGCGCACAGGUGUGUUGCACAAAAGCUGUGGUGUCUUCCAUUUUUCCAGAACCCCAGGGAGUGGCAGAGACCAAGCUGGUAAGGGCUGGGAGCCAGCACUGCCUCAGCCCCAUGCCAGGCGCCCCAGGAGGGGAUGGAGGUCAGCCCUGAUUAGCCUGGCAGCUGCUGACCCCUUCGGCCUCCCCUCUGGCUCCUCUCUGGCUCCCAGAAGCAGAUCCUAAUAUAAGUGACUGCAUUUUACAAUUUAAAAAGUAUUGUAUGAUACACAGCAAAACUAGGGAAUUGGGAUAUGUAAGGUGGAGGAGAUCUGGAGGUCUCCCAGGCAAAUCCUGGAAUGUGAAUGUUGGAUGGGAAGAAACUGCUUCCUGUGCUCCCACUGCUAAGAGCUCCCCCUUCCUCGCUCUUGGUGCCAGGAAGGGGGCGAGGGCACCCCCUCCACCACCACAGCACUGCUACCUCCCGGCCAGGCUGGGGCCGAGCAGGACAGCACACUUAGCCUUCCAGAAAAAUUCAAAAGUGCUAGGACACAGCCUGGUGUUUUCCAAGCCAUUGCAUUUUAAAUGUUUUAUUUAUUUAUGUAUUUAUUUUACUGGGCAUUGAAUCCAGGGCCUUUGCAUUGAGCUAUAUAUCCUCAGCCCCCCUUUUCUUUUUUCUUUUUUUUUUUUUUAAUUUUGAGACAGAGUCUUGAUAAGUUGCCCAGGCUGGGCUCCAACUUUCGAUCCUUCUACCUCAGCUUCCCAGGGUGCUGGGAUGACAAGCAUGCACCACCACGCCAGGAUCAUGUCAUUUUUCAUCUGUUUUUAAAAGAACACCUCCAGCAGGGCUUCGGCAUUGUUUUCUGGGGGGCGGGUGGGGCUGGCUGUGCAGGGCUGCACCUGUGAGUCUGUGGGACACCAGCCCCCCUCCUGCAUGUCAGGCCCACCGAGGGUCUCACACUGGAAGCUGUGGUGUUCGGUGGCUGAAUAACUUCGACAUGGUUUCUAUGCCUUUGUUCCCCCACCCAAAAGAGCCCUGUGCAGGUCCCUGAGGUGGACCAAAAAAAAAAAAAAAAAGCAAAAGCAGCAGUCAAUAACUCUGCUCCCAGUUAUUUCAAAUUCAAGGCUUUGAAAAAUGAUCUUUUAAGUUUUGCUUUACAGUAGCAAAUCCAGAUUCCACAAAAUGUCCAGAGCAGAAAAGAACUACAUCGAGGAAAGUUGAGGCCCAGGCAGCGGUUGGUUUCAUUUGGAUUUGGGGUUUGUUUUUUGGGGUUUUUUUUGGUACUGGGGAUUGAACUCGGGCCCUUGCGCUUGCAAGGCAGGCGGCAGAACCGCUGAGCUAAAUCCCCGGCCCUGGAUUUUGUGUCCUUUAAGAAGCCAGGCAGGAGCAGGUUUGGGCACCCGCUCAGAGGCCGAUUUGGACACCACUCUAUGCCCAGCCUGACGUUGUCACUUCCCCUGCCACCACGCAUUGCGGCCCUUCGGGUGUCCCCUGCAGGAGAUCAGCCAGCUUGGUCCCCGAGUCCUCCAGUCUUAUCUCCUGUCCCCCUCCUCAGGCACUUGGCAACAAACAGGCCAGGCCGGCCAGCAGGGCAAAGGUCUGGCAGCUGGAGGGGAAAAAAACCAAUCAGACAAAAAACCCGCAUUCAGCGGAAAGGUGCAAAAAUGGAGGUCCCAGGCUGUGGCUGGGGGAGCUGUGGCUGUGACUCACGAGCUCCUCUGGGGCUGGGAGCCUUGGAGGCCCCGGGCGUGCUCAGGACCCUGGGAGGCUAGGCUCAGGACAGGACCCUCAUCAUUGCCAGAGGCCAGAGGCGCAGGCCCUGGGCGUCCCAGCUGCUUCUCCCCACGCGGACAAAGUUCGUGCAAGCUGCUUCUUGGGCUGGUAAAUUUGCUUUCCUUUUCUUUUAACCUGGCCCCCACCCAGGGCCGUCUUUCUUUUCCAGCCAGGAGGGGAUGUAAACCGUUUGAAGUUCAUCAACACGGUGAAGUUUUAUUGGAUUUCCGGUCCCCAAGAUUUAUACCCAAGAGGGGGAGUGGGCGGCCAGGCAGACUCCCUCCUUACCUCGGGGUUUCCCUGCCGGACACGUGGCCGCUCAGACUGUCGCCUCUGGGACAAGGCAGGAGGGGGCCAGGGUGACCUGGAUGGACUGGCUCGAGCAAUGCACCUGGUAACUGGUAACGGCGGAGUCGCGGUCCCCACUCCCUCAGGUGAGGUGCUGUCUGUGGAGCUCGGGUAUGUGGUGUCUGCACACGGUGAGGCACGGGGGGGUGGGGGGACACGGGUGGCAGGGGAGAGGGCCCAGUCUGUAGGGCAGGAGGAGGAAGAAGCGCACAUGUGCCCUGGGUCCCGGUCCCAGUGCUCUUGUCACCUGGGGCAGCUCCUCAGGUCUGUGCCGCCGCCGCCGAGCCCCAGACCUUUCUGCAGCCUGAUUUCUGUCCAUCCAAGUCACUCUGCUGCCCCCUCCGAAUCCCCCUUUUCCCUCUGCUCCCCAGGGGCCCCGGUACUUACUGACACCCCUUUUCCAUCUCUUUGUUGCUUUCUUUCUCCGCACCACGUCUCCCCACUCCCCUGGCUACAGCCCAGUCUUAGAGCUGGGGACCUUGAAGGGCUGGAAGAUUUGACCUCUCAGAGCCUCCUGGGUGGCCAGUGACCCCGAGCACAGGGACUGGCCAGGUGGCUGGCGCCCGUGGGUGUACCUUUGUAACGGGGCGAAGCUGUGAGUCCUUUCAUCUGCGGAGAGUCCCCACUUCAGUGACAGAUGCCAACCAGGUAUCUCCAAGCGGCCCUGCCUGAGCUGGAGUUGGUUAGAAAAACAGAAGUUUCUGGAAUCUGAGUCGCCAGGGCCAGCGCUGAGCCCCUUUCACCUACAGUCCUGGGUCCAGUUCUUCAGACGAGUUGUUUACUGGCAGCUGGGUCUGUGGGAAAUAAGUGAAGCAGAAGAAGUAAGUUCAGCGGUGUGUGGAUGUUACAAAAAUAUACCUACAAGCUUUGGGGCCAUGGAUCUUCUUAAUCUGAGCAGAAUCGUUCAUCUCUGUGUUCAUCUCACAGAGGUUACAGGCAUAUCCACUUAUGCAAGACGAGACCUCCUCUUCGAAUGGAGUGCCCCCAUACACGGAGGGUUAGCGCUGGGCUCAGAUCUGUUUCUCACAUAUUCUACACAGUGCAGAGCUCAGCACAUUUGCACCCAGGGUCCCGCUACACUGGGAUUUAAAGUAGACAUACAGGACAUAUUUAUCUGUGGAAAUACAGAAUGCAUCCAUUUUAGUUUAGCUUAAUAAUUUGAAAAACAAACUCUCUUUCCUUUUACUCCUGUCUUGUUUUGCUGUUUUCUUCUCUUCCAUCACCCCCUAAAUUUUCUCUCUUUUUUCCUGACAAGGACCCUGAUCCAGUCUCCCCCUCAAAGCGUCCCACUCACCGGCUGAUUCGGGCCAGGAUCCACCUCUGCUCUGCAAACCCUGGCCCCUUCCUCUGCUGCCCUGGACCCCAGCGUGGCCAGGGGCUGCUGCUUUUUCCUGUGCAGUCUUCCCAGGCCACUGGCCCCAGCUGUGUUCAGGCUCCGGUGCAGGACUGGCGCUGGUCUGGCGGGAGGCUGUGAGGUAGGGCAGGGUCCUCCUUUCUCUGUAGGGCUAGGGGUGGGGUACACAGCAGUUCUGCCCUCUCAGGACCAAGCGACUCCCGUGGAGGUGACCCCUCUAGUAGAUAUCUUUAGACAGACGAUGGGCUCCACCAUCCUGUUUGCUCCCUUCUUUCAUGGUGGGUACCAUUAUCUGGGGAGAAAAUAAUGUUUGGAGGGUCCCAGGUUCUCAGAGCUUCUAGGCCAGGGGCGCCCUCUCAGUGGCCCUUUUAAUCAUUUCCCUGAGCUGGAGUUGAACUCCAGCCUGGGCCAGCACUGCUUUCUAGAAAGGCUUGGGGUGGGGGCUUGUUCCCUGGCCCAGCCGCUGCACCACCCAGGAGGUGAGGUGGGGUGCAGACCCCAGGGCUGGGGGGCAAGUUCAUUCUGUCCCCUCUAAUCAUCUCUGGGAGAAGCCUCAGACCUCCAUAACCUGUCAUCUUCAAAUUGUUCCUAUUCUCCGCUUCUUUGUGACGCAAAGACUAAGCCCGGGUCUCAGAAAAAAGGCCUGUGUCCCCUCCCUCACAGGUACCCGGGAGCCACUGGGAACUGGGGACAAUUCUCCAGGCAGUUAGAAACCCACAGAGCUGAACCAGGCCUGCCUGCCGGAACAGCUUCCGCCUUAAGCUUAAAUGUCUGUCUUUCUCUAACUUCUUCCUAAAUUAGGCUGCCUCAAAGCCAGGACAGGGCAGGGAAAGCAGGAGGGUGGCAGUCAGAGCCUGGUGCCUGUACAGCUCGGCUCUUAAGGACAGCCCAGCGCCGUGACUUUUCCAUAAAUAAAAGGCCCAGCCCCACCGUUCCCAUGUCCUUUUGGGCCCUAAUUUAUAAGCUACAGAAAAUCAUAUACUCAGCCGCCAUGCUUCGUAACACCAUUAUUUAUGGCAGGGGAGGAGACUUCUUUUUUUUUUUUUUUUUGCCCGAAGAGGAUAUUUAUUACAGGUAAAGCCCACGGCACACUCCACACGUCUGACAAAUCGAGAACAGGUGCUUUGCCCUAACUUCGAUCCAUUCGCUCCAGACCCAGUUUUCUCGCUGGCGAGUCUGGGGAGCUCCCUGACUUCCCCAAGCCCCCAGAUGCUACUUAAAAGAAUUUCCAUUGGAUUUUGGUUUCUCCCCGCUUGGUCCUACGGAAAAAGCAGACCUUCACGCUGUUUGGUUCCAGAUCUGCGGGCCCAUCGCCCUCGGAGAGAGCUUGGGUUAGGAGGGGGCCAGCUGGGCGCCAGCAUUGAUCUUUAAAAAAUCAUUUUGAAAUCGCC